RNAcentral lists this transfer RNA (76 nucleotides) under Candidatus Acetothermia bacterium. Its description in RNAcentral is "tRNA-Ala". It matches the Rfam family "tRNA". From Rfam's summary of the family: Transfer RNA (tRNA) molecules are approximately 80 nucleotides in length. Lineage: Bacteria; Candidatus Bipolaricaulota. The record is from RNAcentral.
GGGGACGUAGCUCAGCUGGGAGAGCACCUGCUUUGCAAGCAGGGGGUCGCCGGUUCGAGUCCGGUCGUCUCCACCA